AGCCCCGUCGUCCAGCGGUCAAGGAUAUCGGGCUUUGGACCCGAGGACCUCGGUUCGAAUCCGAGCGGGGCUA
Molecule: transfer RNA, 73 nt
Filed under: Candidatus Woesearchaeota archaeon
Lineage: Archaea; Nanobdellati; Candidatus Woesearchaeota
Also listed under: 1 other name
Description: tRNA-Gln
Rfam family: tRNA
About the family: Transfer RNA (tRNA) molecules are approximately 80 nucleotides in length. Their secondary structure includes four short double-helical elements and three loops (D, anti-codon, and T loops). Further hydrogen bonds mediate the characteristic L-shaped molecular structure. tRNAs have two regions of fundamental functional importance: the anti-codon, which is responsible for specific mRNA codon recognition, and the 3' end, to which the tRNAs corresponding amino acid is attached (by aminoacyl-tRNA synthetases). tRNAs cope with the degeneracy of the genetic code in two manners: having more than one tRNA (with a specific anti-codon) for a particular amino acid; and 'wobble' base-pairing, i.e. permitting non-standard base-pairing at the 3rd anti-codon position.
Source: RNAcentral